GCCAGGUGUGGUGGCACACAUCUGUAAUCCUAGCAACUCAGGAGGCUGAGGCAGGAGGAUCACAAGUUCAAAGCCCGCCUCAGCAACUUAAGGCCAUAAGCAACUUAGUGAGACCCUGUGUCAA
RNAcentral lists this small RNA (124 nucleotides) under Marmota monax (woodchuck). The record is from RNAcentral. Lineage: Eukaryota; Metazoa; Chordata; Mammalia; Rodentia; Sciuridae.